ACUACCAAGUUUCUGUUAAUUUCUUACACUGUUAUGGAAUACUAUUACAGUGUAUUUUCAAAAGAUGGAAGCUGGAGAUAUAAAAAGCAAUGGAUAACUCUAAACAAACGUUGACUAUAUGGGACAAUAUAAAUAAUAAUAAAGAUGGGGGAACACACAGAAGUUGGAAAUGAAAUACUAGCAAAAAUUGUAUUUCAAACAGAUGUUCAGAGUUAAAAAUUGGAAUAUCAUUGUGUUGCUUGGGAAGAGCCUAAAGAUACUGAGUAACUAGAUUAUGUAAAACCAGGUAUGGAUGUUUAAAAUAUGAGAGCAACCACUAGAAAUUGAAUGUAUAAGAUUUCUUUUCAUUGUAUUAUAGGUAAUUUCUCAGAUCUACUUUUCAUAUCACACAUUCUGUCUUCAGCAGAAUUCAAACUGCCUUUUAUCCUCUUCAUUGUGUCUGGUUUUGUUUUGCUUUUUCAUUCUUUACUUCAUCCAAUUAUUCAGCAAAGGAAGUCAUAAGAUGUGACGAUUUAUUUUUAUAUUAUUAUGUUUUAAGUAAAGUGUUUUAGCUUUAGGCUGCUAAAAUAUUAUAAGGUGUGCGCUUAAGCAAACAUUUGUUUCCCACAGUUCUUGGUGCUUGAAAUCCAAGACCAAGGUGCCAGCAUGGUUGGGUUCUUGGUGAAGGCUUUCUCCUGGUUUACAGAUGGCUGUCUUCUCAUAUCAUCACAUAGCGGAGAAGAUAUGAAACUACAUGCAAAGCACUCUAAGCAUCCAUGAUUUGGGACUGCAUUCACCUGCUUGGAGACCUUCCAUCAUCCUUCAAGAUGACUUUUACUCUAUUAUUCCCUUCAUUCAUAACUGUCCCCCAACCCAGAGCAUCAAUAGUUAUAUAAACAAAUAAAAUUGAAAUCCAAGGGUAGAGUUCAAAGUUCCCCACUGAGGACAAGUUGCUGCAUGGAUGAGGACUUUGCUAUUUACCUCUUUGUGACCAUGACAGAUUAGUCAUACCUGGGAGUCAAAGAAGACAUUUAGAGACUGAAUUGAUCCCUGAACUGACACUAGGAUAAUGAUGUUUUAGUAAAAGGGAGCUGAAUUUGACAUUCUCAGACCCAAUUCUUGGAUGCUGACUGGUUCAGGGACACUGUGUAUGUUCACGGUACAAUCCUGGGAGGUGUCUCUCAUACAAUAUCAGCCAAACUUCUGUAAACCUGUGUGUUUCAAGUUCCUCAGCAGAGUCCAAAAUCCUACAGGUUGGUUAGGCCUAUAAUCACCAUAAGGAGACAGGCCUCCUGAGAAGAUUCCAGGGGUAGAAGUGCCAGGAAUCAUGGUGAUAAAGGCAGCAGCAGGAAGUGAGAGAAAGUGAUAACAAAUGCCAUCAGCAAAGCUGAGAGCCACAGCAGUGGUCCUCAGCUGGUCAUUUCUGACAGGCUCUGAGAGCAGCAACAGCUGCUAUAGAACAUGAUCGCCAAAGAUGAAUAGAUUGGAAAGUAUAUCAGCAAUAGCAGCCAGAAAUCAUCAACUUUCACUAAUGUGAGAAGAUGGUAGGUGAUGGGAGUUAACAGGGAUGGAGUUUGGAGUUAAAAAUUCCUAUGUAAGAUCUCUAUACUCUGUUGUCAAUAAGGUUGGUGGGACCUAUAGAAAUAAAGAUAUCUGGGAAAAUGA
Macaca mulatta (Rhesus monkey) is the source of this 1644-nucleotide non-coding RNA. The record is from RefSeq and is a predicted model, not a curated record. NCBI's taxonomy places the organism in Eukaryota, Metazoa, Chordata, Mammalia, Primates, Cercopithecidae.